Molecule: transfer RNA, 71 nt
Filed under: Marmota monax (woodchuck)
Lineage: Eukaryota; Metazoa; Chordata; Mammalia; Rodentia; Sciuridae
Description: tRNA.Ala
Rfam family: tRNA (bases 6-66)
About the family: Transfer RNA (tRNA) molecules are approximately 80 nucleotides in length. Their secondary structure includes four short double-helical elements and three loops (D, anti-codon, and T loops).
Source: RNAcentral
GGGGUUGUAGCUCAGUGGCAGAGCACUUGCCUAGCAUGUAUGAGGCACUGGGUUUGAUUCUCAGCACUGCA